This 847-nucleotide long non-coding RNA is filed under the name Homo sapiens (human). RNAcentral's name for it is "HSALNT0154825". Lineage: Eukaryota; Metazoa; Chordata; Mammalia; Primates; Hominidae. The record is from RNAcentral.
GAAACCAAGCGGAGUGUCCUUUGGAGCCUCUGGACGGUGUGCAGUCGGACAGCUUGGUUUCUGUCUAAUGAAACUCAUUUCAGGCUUCUCACCUCCAGAACUAGCCUGAGAGUGAGGCCUUUGAAUGAUGCCCUGGACAGAGCUUGGAACAUGAAGGUGAAUACUGUUGUGGGGAGAAUGCAUCCCUUUGCCUGGCUCUGAGCCAGGGCCAGCUUUGGAUCCUGCUAGCCCCAUGGAUAUAGAGAGAUAAGCUUGAAAGAUGCCAGCAGGGCCUGCUAAAAGCCUGCAAAAAUGACAAGGAAGAUUACACAGCUGGAAAAAACUGUUUCAACAUUUCUUGUGACAUAAAAAAGCAAAGCCUGAAACAACAAAAAAACCUACACGUAAGAGACGAGAACAUCUGUGAAAAACCAGUGGGUGAAAAUCACAGGAAUCCCGGCUUUAAAUCCAUAUAAAGAAGACCUCCAGCAGCCAGAGUCAUCCAACAGCAAGACAGGCUUCUGGAGAGAGAGUGAGGUCCCAGUUCCUAAAAGUAUACAAGGGCUGCUUACCAGCACUCACUCUGUGGGGGAGGCCAGCUUUCAUGUCAUGAGGACACUCAAGUAGCCCUCUGGAGAGGCUCUCAUGGUGAGGAACUAAGGCGUUCUACCAAUAACCAUGCAGUGUGCCAUCUUGGAAGCAGAUCUUCCAGCACCAGUCCAACCUUCAGAUGACUGCAGCCCAGGCCAACAUCUUGACUGCAACUUCAAGAAAGACCCCAAGCCAUAACCACUCAGCUAAGCCAUUUCCAAUUCCUGAUUCUCAAAACCUGUAUGAGAUAAUAAAAUUGUUUGUUGUUGUUUUAACC